This 496-nucleotide long non-coding RNA is filed under the name Monodelphis domestica (gray short-tailed opossum). RNAcentral describes it as "lncRNA (ENSMODG00000031711.2)". The record is from RNAcentral. Lineage: Eukaryota; Metazoa; Chordata; Mammalia; Didelphimorphia; Didelphidae.
AUUUUAUCAAGUAUCAUAGUAGUUAGAAGAAUUAUUCAUAGUGAACUAGAGAGGGAAAUUGGUGAGAUAUAAUUGAGGAAAUCAAAAAAAGUUACACCAGGAAGUAAGCAAUGUAAGAGGCUGAAUCUUUGGCCCCUCCCCUCUCCACUUCCUGUCCUUCCUUCACCAAUCAACUAAUGGAGGGUUUUAUUCACAGAUCACAGUGAGAAGAGAGAAAAAAGAUGUCACCUGCUCCCAACACUAUGAGAAAGAGCCACUGCCCACUACCUCCCAGAGAGUAAUUGUCAACUCUCUCAGAGUAACAGCCACCCCAGAGAGUAACUGCCACUCCCAGAGACCAACCGCCACAGAAAAAAAAAAAAACAAAACUAUUAUACUGUCAACAUUUGAAACUGAUAUUGUCUCAUAUGAACUUUAAACUCCAAUUUUUUUCUCAAGCCAGCUUCUCUACUUCUUAUCUCUAAACUAAUAUAAUAAAACUUAAUUUCUAAUAUCA